CUGACAAGGGAAGGGGAGACGGUGGAACUUAUCCAGAGUGUGUGUAGUUGAGGUGACACUGUCCCCACCUCCAG
MicroRNA precursor from Bison bison bison, 74 nucleotides. NCBI's taxonomy places the organism in Eukaryota, Metazoa, Chordata, Mammalia, Artiodactyla, Bovidae. The record is from Ensembl.